UUUGCCCGGCCAGCGGCGGCGAGCGCGAGCUUGCACGCCGCAGCCACCCAUGGCUGCCUGCGGCCGGCGAAGCAAGCUCCUACCGGGACGACCGUCCUCUGCUCCGGCCAGGACCUCCUGCGGAAACUAGCUGCUGUUCAUACCCUAGCCCGGCGAGAGCGAUUUCCCCGGUGUGCUUCGACGCCGCCGUCAGACAUGCCGGUCGGCGCCGUCGCACUUGCGCAGCUGCUGCUCAGGUUCGCCGCCGGGUAAUUCCACCACUCCUCUGCUCAGAGCAGGCGCUCCUGCGGAAGCCAUCUGCCAUGGCCAUGUUGCAGGGUUCUCUUGUGGUUGUGAGAGUGACUAGAACACCACGCACUCGAAAAUAAUGGCAGAGAUCGGGAUACAUCGCUGAGAUGACAGGAUAAGGUGUGGCCUGGUAUAAUGGACAACGAAGGUAGGCAUCAUCUGGUAGAUUUGUGGAAAUGAGUUUCUGAAGAGGGCAUGGAGACAAGGAGUGUACGAGUGGGAUGAUGAUGAGGGUAGCACGGCU
Triticum dicoccoides is the source of this 532-nucleotide long non-coding RNA. RefSeq lists it as uncharacterized. NCBI's taxonomy places the organism in Eukaryota, Viridiplantae, Streptophyta, Magnoliopsida, Poales, Poaceae. The transcript is spliced from 3 exons. The record is from RefSeq and is a predicted model, not a curated record.